AGGGUAAUAGUUAAACAUAACAUUUAAUUUGCAUUUAAAAAGUAUUGAAAUUAUUAAUCAAUUUACCUUA
RNAcentral lists this transfer RNA (70 nucleotides) under Onthophagus gracilipes. Its description in RNAcentral is "tRNA-Ala". Lineage: Eukaryota; Metazoa; Arthropoda; Insecta; Coleoptera; Scarabaeidae. The record is from RNAcentral.